This 211-nucleotide long non-coding RNA is filed under the name Macaca mulatta (Rhesus monkey). RNAcentral's name for it is "lncRNA (ENSMMUG00000064734.1)". Lineage: Eukaryota; Metazoa; Chordata; Mammalia; Primates; Cercopithecidae. The record is from RNAcentral.
CAGCCUCUUGUCUGGCACCGGAGCAGAAUUGUCAGGGAGCGUGAGUAAGCAGCCGAUCUUACUUAGGAAAACUGACUUCUACUGAGACCAAAUUGCUGCCAACGGAAUCACUGUGUGUUCGAAGUAUGAGAAUCUCCCAGGUGGGACUCAGGAUGGCAACACAGGCAUCUAGAAGCAAUUUAAGAGGUGAUUAAAGCCCCAGGACAUGGCG